This 245-nucleotide ribosomal RNA is filed under the name uncultured bacterium. Its description in RNAcentral is "partial 16S ribosomal RNA". It matches the Rfam family "Bacterial small subunit ribosomal RNA", at positions 524 to 768 of the family's 1533-position model. The record is from RNAcentral.
UACGAAGGUGGCAAGCGUUGUUCGGAAUCACUGGGCUUAAAGCGCACGUAGGCGGCCUGUUAAGUGCUCUGUGAAAUCCCUCGGCUCAACCGAGGAAUUGCAGGGCAAACUGGCGGGCUUGAGCAAGGUAGAGGUGAGUGGAACUCUUGGUGGAGCGGUGGAAUGCGUAGAUAUCAAGAGGAACGCCGGAGGUGAAGACGACUCACUGGGCCUUUUCUGACGCUGAGGUGCGAAAGCCAGGGGAG